GCCCCUAGCAAGAAUACAAGUAUUAGGGGUAAUGCCUGCCCAGUGACAUUGUUAAACGGCCGCGGUAUCCUAACCGUGCAAAGGUAGCGUAAUCACUUGUCUUUUAAAUAAAGACUAGAAUGAAUGGCCAAACGAGGUUACACCUGUCUCUUACAAACAAUCAGUGAAAUUGAUCUUCCUGUGCAAAAGCAGGAAUAAUAUUAUAAGACGAGAAGACCCUGUGGAACUUCAAAUACAAAAUCAACUACUACUAACACCAACCCAAUGGGCCUAUACUAAAAUAGUAUCUGAUUCUUAUUUUUGGUUGGGGCGACCUCGGAGUAAAACAAAACCUCCGAAAAAUAAAAAACUUUUUAAACCAAGAAUAACAGCUCAAAGUGCUCUCAGCAAAACGAUCCAAUAUAUUUGAUCAACGAACUAAGCUACCCCAGGGAUAACAGCGCAAUCCCAUUCUAGAGUCCCUAUCGACAAUGGGGUUUACGACCUCGAUGUUGGAUCAGGACAUCCUGAUGGUGUAGCCGCUAUCAAGGGUUCGUUUGUUCAACGAUUAAUAGUCCUACGUGA
Molecule: ribosomal RNA, 564 nt
Filed under: Psammobates tentorius (tent tortoise)
Lineage: Eukaryota; Metazoa; Chordata; Testudines; Testudinidae
Description: partial 12S ribosomal RNA
Rfam family: Bacterial large subunit ribosomal RNA
Source: RNAcentral